GUGGAUAUAGCUCAGUUGGUAGAGCGCUUGCUUUGGGAGCAAGGGGCCGCAGGUUCAAGUCCUGCUAUCCGCA
Molecule: transfer RNA, 73 nt
Filed under: Bacillus phage Thurquoise
Lineage: Duplodnaviria; Heunggongvirae; Uroviricota; Caudoviricetes; Herelleviridae
Description: tRNA-Pro
Rfam family: tRNA
About the family: Transfer RNA (tRNA) molecules are approximately 80 nucleotides in length. Their secondary structure includes four short double-helical elements and three loops (D, anti-codon, and T loops).
Source: RNAcentral